This 253-nucleotide ribosomal RNA is filed under the name uncultured bacterium. Its description in RNAcentral is "partial 16S ribosomal RNA". It matches the Rfam family "Bacterial small subunit ribosomal RNA", at positions 524 to 776 of the family's 1533-position model. The record is from RNAcentral.
UACGAAGGGUGCAAGCGUUACUCGGAAUUACUGGGCGUAAAGCGUGCGUAGGUGGUUCGUUAAGUCUGCUGUGAAAGCCCUGGGCUCAACCUGGGAAUGGCAUUGGAAACUGGCGGGCUAGAGUGCGGUAGAGGGUAGUGGAAUUCCCGGUGUAGCAGUGAAAUGCGUAGAGAUCGGGAGGAACAUCCGUGGCGAAGGCGACUACCUGGACCAGCACUGACACUGAGGCACGAAAGCGUGGGGAGCAAACAGG